Molecule: ribosomal RNA, 253 nt
Filed under: uncultured bacterium
Lineage: Bacteria
Description: partial 16S ribosomal RNA
Rfam family: Bacterial small subunit ribosomal RNA
Source: RNAcentral
UACAGAGGUCUCGAGCGUUGUUCGGAUUCAUUGGGCGUAAAGGGUGCGUAGGUGGCGCUGUAAGUCGGGUGUGAAAUCCUGAGGCUUAACCUCGGAACUGCAUUCGAUACUGCGGCGCUUGAGGACUGGAGAGGAGACUGGAAUUCGAUGGUGUAGCAGUGAAAUGCGUAGAGAUCAUGAGGAAGACCAGUGGCGAAGGCGGGUCUCUGGACAGUUCCUGACACUGAGGCACGAAGGCCAGGGAGCAAACGGG